RNAcentral lists this ribosomal RNA (433 nucleotides) under uncultured bacterium. RNAcentral describes it as "partial 16S ribosomal RNA". It matches the Rfam family "Bacterial small subunit ribosomal RNA", at positions 29 to 507 of the family's 1533-position model. The record is from RNAcentral.
AACGAACGCUGGCGGCAUGCCUAACACAUGCAAGUCGAACGAGACCUUCGGGUCUAGUGGCGCACGGGUGCGUAACGCGUGGGAACCUGCCUUUAGGUUCGGAAUAACUCAGAGAAAUUUGAGCUAAUACCGGAUGAUGUCUUCGGACCAAAGAUUUAUCGCCUUUAGAUGGGCCCGCGUUGGAUUAGCUAGUUGGCGGGGUAAAGGCCUACCAAGGCGACGAUCCAUAGCUGGUCUGAGAGGAUGAUCAGCCACACUGGGACUGAGACACGGCCCAGACUCCUACGGGAGGCAGCAGUGGGGAAUAUUGGACAAUGGGCGAAAGCCUGAUCCAGCAAUGCCGCGUGAGUGAUGAAGGCCUUAGGGUUGUAAAGCUCUUUUACCCGAGAUGAUAAUGACAGUAUCGGGAGAAUAAGCGCCGGCUAACUCCGUG